RNAcentral lists this ribosomal RNA (240 nucleotides) under uncultured bacterium. Its description in RNAcentral is "partial 16S ribosomal RNA". It matches the Rfam family "Bacterial small subunit ribosomal RNA", at positions 94 to 334 of the family's 1533-position model. The record is from RNAcentral.
AGCGGCGGACGGGUGAGUAACGCGUGGGUAACCUGCCUCAUACAGGGGGAUAACAGUUAGAAAUGACUGCUAAUACCGCAUAAGACCACAGCACCGCAUGGUGCGGGGGUAAAAACUCCGGUGGUAUGAGAUGGACCCGCGUCUGAUUAGGUAGUUGGUGGGGUAACGGCCUACCAAGCCGACGAUCAGUAGCCGACCUGAGAGGGUGACCGGCCACAUUGGGACUGAGACACGGCCCAG